AUGGAUCAGCUUUUCAUUACAACGGACAAGUUUGAUGUAAAACUAGGACAUGUCUCCGAAAGCUUCAAGGUCGGUAAAUCAAUAAGCACCGAAGCAAUAGAGCCCAUGCUAACAAUCUUGAGAAAACAACUCAAUGGCACACCGAGAAAGAUUCUGUCGUUAAGCAACAUUUUCCCUCUACCAUGUUCGUUGUGCGGGUUUGAGCAAAACGAAACUAUAAGUCAUUACUUCACCAUCACAGUUAACAUGCAAAAACAGCGCUUUGAACUCCUUGACUCUUCAACUGCAUAUCCAGGCACAAUAGAAUUCUUCAACAAUGUAACCAGCAAACUAAUGAAAAUCUGGAAGCACAUAAGCACAGAGCUACAUCUUUCAGAAAAAAGCAUCGACCAUUACAAAAAGGUCAGACUGCAGGUGCCACUUCAAGGAGAAGACACAAUGGACUGCGCAUUCUAUAUGUACAUGAACCUGAAGCACUACUCCAGUGAUGGAACAACAGCAACCUUAAAGCCAAAACAAGUACGAAAGUUGAGGAAAAAGGUUCUAUAUCAACUAAUCAGUCAACACAGAGGGAAUACAAAAUUGUCACUAAUCAAGUGUACAACAGAUAUGCUGAAAUAUGAAGUAGAUAUGAAAGACAAAGAAAUGCAACAAGCAGAAUGUUGCGUACUAGAAGAGUUUCCGCCAACUACCGGGUCAAAAGAACAUAUUAUGCAUGCGACAACCACACAAGAGCAUGAAGUUAUUGAUAUAUCCAGUAAACGCAAAGAUAUUAUGGAUGUCAGCAGCCACGCCGUUGCCCAACAAUCUUGCACAGACCAUGAACAAAAUGAUCCACCAAUAGAACCAGAUCAACCACCACCAGACGACAAGAUACCACACCAUCCCGAAGAGGAAACAGACGAGCAAAAUAUCAACAGCAAUAUCACGACCAUAGAGCAACUGGAACAAACAGACACUGAUUUAAAAGAGGAUGACAGAAGCAAUGACGUACCAAAUACACAACAACAGGUUUCCGAGCAGAAGAAAUAG
Molecule: ribosomal RNA, 1032 nt
Filed under: Triticum aestivum (bread wheat)
Lineage: Eukaryota; Viridiplantae; Streptophyta; Magnoliopsida; Poales; Poaceae
Description: partial small subunit ribosomal RNA
Source: RNAcentral